UCUCAAUUCCAGCCCCUCCUCCCUCGUCUGAAUCUUAAUUUCAGAUUUGCGAGGAACAACCUUGUGAGAAACUUCACAACAACACAUUACAGAUUUUGAGACUUACAUCAAAGCUUUGAAAACCUUGCAGAUACGUAUUCUCAUAUGUGCGUCAAUCUUUGAAAAUCAUUUGGGUCUCUCAUUGGUGUAGUUUGUUUUUCUUGAAAUGGGUGUUCUUUUAUUUAGGAUGCAGAUGGGUAUUGUUUCUUAUGAAGCCAGCUUCAUUUGAUUGACGGAAUAACGGUUUCUCUAUACAAAUUCAUCGUUCUUCAACUUCAACCUCUUGGCCCUCUCCUUCCUUUGGAACUCGAGAGGGGAAGAUCGCCGAUUAGACGAUAAUGCCACACAAAACUCGACCUAUGACGGCACUCUUGGUCUUCACUGGGGUGAAUGCUCUCUUGCUCCCAACACUUGGACCUGUUUAUGAUUUCGUUUGCUUCCUCCCAUACUGGGAAAGAAGGAGAGAACGUCGGCGCCAAGAACGUGAAGCUGCCUCUACCGGAACUGUUGGAUCAUCCCAGUCAAUAAGUUAGAACAACUUUAGAGGUUGCCGAGGUUUCUUGAACGUUUUGAAGAGUUUGCGGGUGUUUUUGAAAGAUUAGACGACGGCCACCGCCGCCUCACGGCGGCCGCUGCCCACCGUGCUUGUUUCGAAGAGAUCUGCGUAGGGGGUAGGCGGCGCCGCAGCCCCUGGGCGAAUCCGGCAGUUACGAAUUUUCGUAUAAAAGCCCUUUUUUAAGGUUUUUCCUAUCACCUUCGACUCCAGCACCCUCCUUAGGCGAUUUCUAUCAUUUUUCUCUAGUUUUUGAGUAUUAGAACACAUCUAAACAUCAUUUGGAAUCCUCGGAUUGAAGAUCGCUUUGGUUUUGGAUUGAAGUUGCCUGGACUAUUGUAAGAACAUCUUUAUUUCCUUUUGAUUGGUUUAUGGUGCAUUCUUGUUGUUCUUUAUUGA
Molecule: long non-coding RNA, 991 nt
Organism: Salvia miltiorrhiza (redroot sage)
Lineage: Eukaryota; Viridiplantae; Streptophyta; Magnoliopsida; Lamiales; Lamiaceae
Exons: 7
Source: RefSeq, a predicted model, not a curated record